This 434-nucleotide ribosomal RNA is filed under the name uncultured bacterium. RNAcentral's name for it is "bacterial SSU rRNA". It matches the Rfam family "Bacterial small subunit ribosomal RNA", at positions 29 to 507 of the family's 1533-position model. The record is from RNAcentral.
AACGAACGCUGGCGGCAUGCCUAACACAUGCAAGUCGAACGAGACCUUCGGGUCUAGUGGCGCACGGGUGCGUAACGCGUGGGAAUCUGCCCCUCGGUUCGGAAUAACACAGAGAAAUUUGUGCUAAUACCGGAUAAUGACUUCGGUCCAAAGAUUUAUCGCCGAGGGAUGAGCCCGCGUAAGAUUAGCUUGUUGGUGGGGUAAUGGCCUACCAAGGCGACGAUCUUUAGCUGGUCUGAGAGGAUGAUCAGCCACACUGGGACUGAGACACGGCCCAGACUCCUACGGGAGGCAGCAGUGGGGAAUAUUGGACAAUGGGCGAAAGCCUGAUCCAGCAAUGCCGCGUGAGUGAUGAAGGCCUUAGGGUUGUAAAGACUCUUUUACCAGGGAUGAUAAUGACAGUACCUGGAGAAUAAGCUCCGGCUAACUCCGUG